Molecule: long non-coding RNA, 682 nt
Organism: Apis mellifera (honey bee)
Lineage: Eukaryota; Metazoa; Arthropoda; Insecta; Hymenoptera; Apidae
Exons: 3
Source: RefSeq, a predicted model, not a curated record
AUGCAGAUGCAUUAACUUUAAAGCUAUUCUAUUCUAUCAUCUUUAAAUAUAAUGAAAGAGAGCAAGAAAUUUAGUUACCAGAUUUAGGAACUUUUGGUCCUUUGGUACAACAUGUAUCUAAAAAUAUAAUGACAGUAAAAUACUAAGCUUGGAUUAAACAUCCAUCAGAAAAAUUUAAAGUUGUGAAUAUUAGUUUAGAUGAAAUGAAUUAAGCGUAUCAAAAGAACAUUAACAUUAACGUAUUACGUAACAGGAUGAACAAGAUAAAAUAGAUUUCGAUAAUCUAACUACGGAUGAUGCAGAUACACAUUUCGAGAUGGUACUUUAACAAUUGAAAGUUUAGAUGGAAAUAAAUUAUAUUUAGAUUCAACGACUGAAUUUAGAAUGUAUACAAUUGUAUCACAUAGUGUCGUUGAAAAUUUUGAAUCGGAUGUGAUCGUUCCUUAUUAGAGGAGAAUAUGAUAUCUAUCUAAUAUAUUUUUAUAUGUUUAAUAUAUAUUCAAUGAUAGGCAAUGACAGAGUGAAAUUAGAUAGAAGUUUGAAAAUGAUAUGAUAAACAAUACGUAAUUGAACAAAUGAGUGAUAAAAAAAAAUUGAAGAUAAAUUUAUAAGCGAAAAUAUAUAAAUCUGAUGAUAUCUUCGUUAACAAUAUUCCUGUGUAUUUAGAAACAUUGAAAAAAAA